This 497-nucleotide ribosomal RNA is filed under the name uncultured bacterium. RNAcentral's name for it is "partial 16S ribosomal RNA". It matches the Rfam family "Bacterial small subunit ribosomal RNA", at positions 28 to 507 of the family's 1533-position model. The record is from RNAcentral.
GAUGAACGCUGGCGGCGUGCUUAAUACAUGCAAGUCGAGCGAACAGACGAGGAGUUUGCUCCUCUGACGUUAGCGGCGGACGGGUGAGUAACACGUGGAUAACCUACCUAUAAGACUGGGAUAACUUCGGGAAACCGGCGCUAAUACCGUAUAAUAUAUUGAACCGCAUGGUUCAAUAGUGAAAGACGGUUUUUUUGUCACUUAUAGCUGCAUCUGCGCCGCAUUGGCUAGUUGGUAGGGUAACGGCUUACCAAGGCAACGAUGCGUAGCCGACCUGAGAGGGUGGUCGCCCACACUGGAAGUGAAACGCGGACCAGACUCCUGCGGGAGGCAGCAGAAGGGUAUCUUCCGCAGUGGGCGAGAGCCUGGCGGAGCAGCGCCGCGUGAGUUAUAGAGAUCUUGGGUUCGUAAAGCCCUGUUAUUAGUGAUGAACAAAUGUGUAAGUGACAAUAGACGUCUUGACGGUACCUAAUCAGGAAGCCACGGCUAACUACGUG